RNAcentral lists this small RNA (78 nucleotides) under Flavobacterium aquicola. RNAcentral describes it as "Flavo-1 RNA". It matches the Rfam family "Flavo-1 RNA". The record is from RNAcentral. Lineage: Bacteria; Pseudomonadati; Bacteroidota; Flavobacteriia; Flavobacteriales; Flavobacteriaceae.
UAUUAGCCCCGAUUGCAGUGGAAAUCCUUGUUGCCCGGGGUUCGGGUAACAAGAUUGCAACGAAAAGCGGGAGGAUAC